Long non-coding RNA from Nyctereutes procyonoides (raccoon dog), 1140 nucleotides. RefSeq lists it as uncharacterized. The transcript is spliced from 2 exons. The record is from RefSeq and is a predicted model, not a curated record. NCBI's taxonomy places the organism in Eukaryota, Metazoa, Chordata, Mammalia, Carnivora, Canidae.
CUCGCUUCCAGGUGCCUGACCCGUGCGCUAAGCCCACCUGGGCGGAGGAUGGAUGGGAGAGAUUUAGUCCUUGGGGGGCCCUGCUCAAGGCAAGGAAGGUCGUCUUCUGAGACCUUCGUCCCUGGGCAGGCUCUGUUCCUUGAUUUCUGGGCCCCUGACCUCUCCAGGCCGCUCUAUGGAUAUCGGACCUGUCUGGGCAGUGCCCUGCAGGUGCGUCUUGAGAUAUUUCGGAUGGGACGUUUAGGAAAAUAUUGUGACCGAGCUGGUGAUCUCCUUGACACAUGUUGCUGGCCUGCACUCAACGUGGAGAAGGGUUGAGCUUAACCUUCACCACUGAAUUCGUGGUGGUCUUCAGAUGCGAGGCCUCUGGAAUGGAUCAUCUGAGGCCACGCCACAGCCCCCGCUCCCCCAACGAAGAGAACUGUUAACUGGUUGCAGCUGCAUUCUUGGUGCAGAUUCUGGCAGAGCGUGCAAAAUCGUGUCCUCAACUCUAUGUAGCUGAUGUUCUGCACUCAGUACGUGUUUACCAUCUGUCUCUGUUGCCGUGUGAGACUCUGGGAUAUUGCUCCCAACUGUUGCUUCUACUCUAGGGCGUGUACGUGGCUCUUCCCGGUGUGACAUGUGAACCUGGGCAGGUCUUUGCACCUGCUUCCACCUGUAGAAUGAAGGUGACAUUGUUUGGCUUCCCAGGAUAAGUCAUUAAAAUACCUCGUUGAGAUGUUUGCUCUGGGAAUCUAGCCAUCAUAUUGGGGGAGAGCUGGAAGCCACAUGGAGAGAACUUGCACUAGACUAAAUAAUGUCCCCCAAGUCCAUGUCCCCCUAGAUCCUGGGAAUAUGAGCUUAUUUAGAAAAAGUUUUUUUGUAGACAUAAUCAAGUUGAAGUCAUGCUGAAUUAAGAUGGGCCCUAAAUCCAAUACCUCUGGUGGUGUUAUGAGAGUUUAGGGGAGAAGGUCUGUGGUGAUGGAGGCAGAGAUUGGGGGCCUGCCUACAGUUACCAGCCAAGGAUUGCAAGGACCAGGAAGGUGGAUGAGGGAAGCAAGGAUUCUGCUCUAGUACUUUGAGGGAGUAUGGUCCCAUCAGCAUCUGGAAUUCAGACUUCUGGGUUAUAGAACUUUAAUAAAUUUCUCUGGUUUUAUGUGA